Molecule: ribosomal RNA, 253 nt
Filed under: uncultured bacterium
Lineage: Bacteria
Description: partial 16S ribosomal RNA
Rfam family: Bacterial small subunit ribosomal RNA
Source: RNAcentral
UACGGAGGGAGCUAGCGUUAUUCGGAAUUACUGGCGUAAAGCGCACGUAGGCGGCUUUGUAAGUUAGAGGUGAAAGCCUGGAGCUCAACUCCAGAACUGCCUUUAAGACUGCAUCGCUUGAAUCCAGGAGAGGUGAGUGGAAUUCCGAGUGUAGAGGUGAAAUUCGUAGAUAUUCGGAAGAACACCAGUGGCGAAGGCGGCUCACUGGACUGGUAUUGACGCUGAGGUGCGAAAGCGUGGGGAGCAAAGCAGG